GAGUUUGAUCGUGGCUCAGGAUGAACGCUAGCGGCAGGCUUAACACAUGCAAGUCGAGGGGUAGAGUUAGCUUGCUAACUUGAGACCGGCGCACGGGUGCGUAACGCGUAUGCAAUCUACCUUGUACAGGGGGAUAGCCCAGAGAAAUUUGGAUUAAUACCCCAUAGUGUAAUGAAAUGGCAUCAUUUUAUUACUAAAGUUCCAACGGUACAAGAUGAGCAUGCGUCCCAUUAGCUAGAUGGUAAGGUAACGGCUUACCAUGGCAACGAUGGGUAGGGGUCCUGAGAGGGAGAUCCCCCACACUGGUACUGAGACACGGACCAGACUCCUACGGGAGGCAGCAGGUGAGGAAUAUUGGUCAAGUGGGCGCAAGCCCUGAACCCAGCCAUGCCGCGUGCAGGAUGAAGCAUCUAUGGUGUGUAAACUGCUUUUUGUACAGGAAGAAACACUCCCUCGUGAGGGA
This 463-nucleotide ribosomal RNA is filed under the name uncultured Flavobacterium sp. Its description in RNAcentral is "bacterial SSU rRNA". It matches the Rfam family "Bacterial small subunit ribosomal RNA", at positions 9 to 467 of the family's 1533-position model. Lineage: Bacteria; Pseudomonadati; Bacteroidota; Flavobacteriia; Flavobacteriales; Flavobacteriaceae. The record is from RNAcentral.